AAUGGGCUGAGCUACUCCUAAAAGGCUGUGGGUAUUUCCAGACUUCUCCCCCCAAUGAAAACUGCAAACAGAAAAGUGCAACAAGAAACUUUGCUACGGAUUAACCAAUGUGCAUUGACCACACGUGGCAAUGUCCAGGAAUGACAGAACCAUCACCUCCCACCACAGCGUCCCCACGGUCCCUCGUCGGCAGGCAGGCGAGUGGUCAAGGAGCGUCCAUUCUGCGUGAGCUGAUGGAUGGGUCUCAGUGGAAGGAUGGUCCUUCCUUCAUGUCAUUCAUGAUCGCUUUGUGAAUUUCCGAUAUGGUAGCAGAGGGUCACAAAUGGGAUUAUCCGGGCGGUGCCUUUUCUGCUAACCGAACACCUUGAAAUGUGAAAGCAAAACUAAGGACCUAAGGGUAAAAGGAGGUUUUAAAGCCCAUUAUGCUCCUCUGAACUAAUCCUCCCUUGGGAAGAAAGUCC
This 461-nucleotide long non-coding RNA is filed under the name Gallus gallus (chicken). Its description in RNAcentral is "lncRNA (ENSGALG00010020200.1)". Lineage: Eukaryota; Metazoa; Chordata; Aves; Galliformes; Phasianidae. The record is from RNAcentral.